Molecule: ribosomal RNA, 465 nt
Filed under: uncultured Serenomyces
Lineage: Eukaryota; Fungi; Ascomycota; Sordariomycetes; Phyllachorales; Phaeochoraceae
Description: eukaryotic LSU rRNA
Rfam family: 5.8S ribosomal RNA (bases 151-304)
Source: RNAcentral
CCCUACCGUAACCGUCCCUUCGGCGGGCCGGGCGCCUCUCCGGGCGCCUAGGCCCGGCGCCCCGCGCGGGCGCCGAGCCUCCGCCGGAGGCAACCNAAAACCGAGUCUUUUAGUGGCCUCUCUGAGUACUGUGAUCUCUGAAUCAGUCAAAACUUUCAACAACGGAUCUCUUGGCUCUAGCAUCGAUGAAGAACGCAGCGAAAUGCGAUAAGUAAUGUGAAUUGCAGAAUUCCGUGAAUCAUCGAAUCUUUGAACGCACAUUGCGCCCGCCAGCACUCUGGCGGGCAUGCCUGUCCGAGCGUCAUUUCGACCCUCAAGCCCCCGCGGCUUGGUGUUGGGGCGCCGCGGCCGCAGCGGUCGCGCGCCCCGAAAGGCAGUGGCGGGCUCGCCCCGGACCCGAGCGCAGUAGCUAUACCUCGCUCCGGGCUCCGCGGCGGGCGCCAGCCCAGCACAAGCAACCAAAGG